This 1064-nucleotide long non-coding RNA is filed under the name Homo sapiens (human). Its description in RNAcentral is "HSALNT0348755". Lineage: Eukaryota; Metazoa; Chordata; Mammalia; Primates; Hominidae. The record is from RNAcentral.
GGCAAGGACUAUGUCCUAUUCCACCUUGAAUUCUCAUCACCAAGCGGAACGCCUGACACCUAAUCUAGUCAGUGCUUACUAAGUGCUCAUUAUCAAUGCAAGAAUAACAGAGCUAUGGAACCUGGCAGCCACCUCUUUUCUUUGGGCCUCAGUCUUCUCAUGCAGAACUUGGGAUUGGACUAAAUUGGAUCUCCUAGGCUGCCUCUGACUCUAACAAUUCUCUGAUUUAAAUUAUUCUUCAUCUGGAUGUAAUCCACCUUGCUUUUCCAUCCCAGGCUCUGUUCUCACUCAUGGCUGAUGGGCAAAGGCGACUAAGGAGGCACGGCUCCGUGAGGAUGUCCUUACAACUUUGCAACCCCCAAGGAAAAAGAGGUUGUUUUCCCAAUAUCUACUGUAAAACCUAAGAGGAAAAUUUCACGUUGCUGCAGCUUGGAUCAUGCAUUUAUCAUUUGGACCACCUCUGAGGACAGGGAGUUGCAAUGUGGAUUUUAUGGAAUAGAUGCUAUGUGGUGGAAUCCUGAGUCACGGCCAAACAGCAAAUGCCAGCAAGAGUAGAGUAGGAGGCAUUUCUGUGUACACUUUGGGAAAAAGUCCAUUCCUCACUUGGUUUCAUUUCUGGCCUGAGCCGCUGUGUCCUCCACCUGAAGCCCUGACCUCUCCGUUACUGACUGGAUCCCAAUGUGCCACAGUUCACCUGCAUAAGGAGGGGGUCGAAGACAAGAAAACUGUGAGAGGCUAAGUAAUUUGCUGAGCUCAUAUGACAUCUAAAUGGCAGAGCUCAGAAACCUCAGGGAUUAGAGUGAAGUAGAAUAGAGGAAGUUAACCUUUCCAGUGCUACCUGCGGGCUGAGAAUGACGCACACAGCUUUUUUGAUACCCGGAAGUGAGACAAACUCAUAAGAUGGGGUGAGGAAAUGAGACAUCAAAAGAUUAAGUGACUUGCUAAAAUUUACACUGCCUACGAAAGCUGACCUGGAAUGUGAACCAGAAAUUGUCCUUAACCAAAUCACCUCACUGUCUCUCAAGAGAUGGGGUCUCACUACAUUGCCCAGGCUGGCUCUCAAA